GGAAGCGCCUCUGCGACUGGUGUGCGGCUCGGUCUUCAAAACCGAUGGGGCUCCGCGCGAGCGGCGGCCCGGCGGGUUCGAUUCCCGUGCGCUUCCG
Molecule: transfer RNA, 97 nt
Filed under: Kofleriaceae bacterium
Lineage: Bacteria; Pseudomonadati; Myxococcota; Haliangiales; Kofleriaceae
Description: tRNA-Sec
Rfam family: Selenocysteine transfer RNA
Source: RNAcentral